UCUACGGGAGGCUGCAGUGGGGAAUAUUGGACAAUGGGCGAAAGCCUGAUCCAGCCAUGCCGCGUGUGUGAAGAAGGCCUUCGGGUUGUAAAGCACUUUCAGUGGGGAAGAAAGCCUUGGGGCUAAUACCCUCGAGGAAGGACAUCACCCACAGAAGAAGCACCGGCUAACUCCGUGCCAGCAGCCGCGGUAAUACGGAGGGUGCGAGCGUUAAUCGGAAUUACUGGGCGUAAAGCGCGCGUAGGCGGUCUGAUAAGCCGGUUGUGAAAGCCCCGGGCUCAACCUGGGAACGGCAUCCGGAACUGUCAGGCUAGAGUGCAGGAGAGGAAGGUAGAAUUCCCGGUGUAGCGGUGAAAUGCGUAGAGAUCGGGAGGAAUACCAGUGGCGAAGGCGGCCUUCUGGACUGACACUGACGCUGAGGUGCGAAAGCGUGGGUAGCAAACAGGAUUAGAUACCCGGGUAGUC
Molecule: ribosomal RNA, 465 nt
Filed under: Vreelandella stevensii
Lineage: Bacteria; Pseudomonadati; Pseudomonadota; Gammaproteobacteria; Oceanospirillales; Halomonadaceae
Description: partial 16S ribosomal RNA
Rfam family: Bacterial small subunit ribosomal RNA
Source: RNAcentral